GACGAACGCUGGCGGCGUGCUUAACACAUGCAAGUCGAACGGUAAGGCCCUUCGGGGUACACGAGUGGCGAACGGGUGAGUAACACGUGGGUGAUCUGCCCUGCACUUCGGGAUAAGCCUGGGAAACUGGGUCUAAUACCGGAUAGGACCACUGCCUGCAUGGGUGGUGGUGGAAAGCUUUUGCGGUGUGGGAUGGGCCCGCGGCCUAUCAGCUUGUUGGUGGGGUGAUGGCCUACCAAGGCGACGACGGGUAGCCGGCCUGAGGGGGUGACCGGCCACACUGGGACUGGGAUACGGCCCAGACGCCUACGGGAGGCAGCAGUGGGGAAUAUUGCACAAUGGGCGCAAGCCUGAGGCAGCGACGCCGCGUGAGGGAUGACGGCCUUCGGGUUGUAAACCUCUUUCAGCACCGACGAAGCGCAAGUGACGGUAGGUGCAGAAGAAGGACCGGCCAACUACGUGCCAGCCGCCGCGGUAA
This 478-nucleotide ribosomal RNA is filed under the name uncultured bacterium. RNAcentral describes it as "partial 16S ribosomal RNA". It matches the Rfam family "Bacterial small subunit ribosomal RNA", at positions 28 to 523 of the family's 1533-position model. The record is from RNAcentral.